CGCGGCCUAUCAGCUUGUUGGUGGGGUAGUGGCUUACCAAGGCUUUGACGGGUAGCCGGCCUGAGAGGGUGACCGGCCACAUUGGGACUGAGAUACGGCCCAGACUCCUACGGGAGGCAGCAGUGGGGAAUAUUGCACAAAGGGCGGAAGCCUGAUGCAGCAACGCCGCGUGCGGGAUGACGGCCUUCGGGUUGUAAACCGCUUUCGCCUGUGACGAAGCGUGAGUGACGGUAAUGGGUAAAGAAGCACCGGCUAACUACGUGCCAGCAGCCGCGGUGAUACGUAGGGUGCGAGCGUUGUCCGGAUUUAUUGGGCGUAAAGGGCUCGUAGGUGGUUGAUCGCGUCGGAAGUGUAAUCUUGGGGCUUAACCCUGAGCGUGCUUUCGAUACGGGUUGACUUGAGGAAGGUAGGGGAGAAUGGAAUUCCUGGUGGAGCGGUGGAAUGCGCAGAUAUCAGGAGGAACACCAGUGGCGAAGGCGGUUCUCUGGGCCUUUCCUGACGCUGAGGAGCGAAAGCGUGGGGAGCGAACAGGCUUAGAUACCCUGGUAGUCCGCGCUGUAAACGGUGGGUACUAGGUGUGGGUCCAUUCCACGGGUUCCGUGCCGUAGCUAACGCUUUAAGUACCCCGCCUGGGGAGUACGG
RNAcentral lists this ribosomal RNA (642 nucleotides) under uncultured bacterium. Its description in RNAcentral is "bacterial SSU rRNA". It matches the Rfam family "Bacterial small subunit ribosomal RNA", at positions 232 to 885 of the family's 1533-position model. The record is from RNAcentral.